AACGGCCGUACCAUGCUGAAUAUACCGGUUCUCGUUAGAUCACCGAAGUUAAGCAUCAUUGGGCGCGGUCAGUACUUGGGUGGGUGACCACCUGGGAAACGUGCUGUUG
RNAcentral lists this ribosomal RNA (109 nucleotides) under Caerostris darwini. The record is from RNAcentral. Lineage: Eukaryota; Metazoa; Arthropoda; Arachnida; Araneae; Araneidae.